Molecule: long non-coding RNA, 17360 nt
Filed under: Marmota monax (woodchuck)
Lineage: Eukaryota; Metazoa; Chordata; Mammalia; Rodentia; Sciuridae
Rfam family: tRNA (bases 9340-9400)
Source: RNAcentral
AUGCUAGUUUUUACUCCUGCUUCUAUUUUAGGAACCAAAAAACAGACAGAAUGGCAGAUUGCUACUGUUUGAUCCAAAGGGUAAAUUAUUUAUUACGUCAAAUGUGUUUGAUCAUGAUUCUAUCCUAAAUAUUAAUUAAUAAUAAGAAUAUUGGAAUGAGUGAAUGUGAUUUUAUGAUUUAGUAAUCAAAUAUUUUGUUAUAUGUCAUCCAAAAAUAUCUUAAAUUUUAUUUCCCAAUGUGACACUUACGUUUACGGACAUCACUGCUAGAAAAAAAAUACUAAGUUUUUUUCUUCUCUUUCAGAAAAAGUGAUGCUUGAACCAAAGGAAGCAAUGUCAGAGUAAGAAGAUGUCUUUGGUUGUGCAGCUGAUCUGUCACAUGCCUUUUAAGCAAUUAGAACUAGAUAAUGCAACCAUUUGUCACCUAAUUAAAUUUGAAAAGCCAGAAAUGCAUGGAUUAGCACUUUAGUUUUUGCUUCAGUCAAAGUAAUUGUCACUGGGCUGGGGAUGUGGCUCAAGCGGUAGCACGCUCGCCUGGCAUGCGUGCGGCCCGGGUUCGAUCCUCAGCACCACAUACAAACAAAGAUGUUGUGUCCACUGAAAACUAAAAAAAUAAAUAAAUAUUAAAAAAAAAAACAAAAACAAAGUAAUUGUCACUUAAAUAGAAGGAUACGUAAAAUUAAAAAUGAAUUUUGAUAAAAAUGUAGAGGCAUGGAUAAUAAUCACUUCUAUUUUUUAAUGCUUAAACAUCAUGUAUUCUGUAUUUUACUUGUAUAAUUUCCAUUGCUCAUUCCAAUUUCCCUUUGCUAUUUGCUCAUUUCUUUCAGGAUAUAUCUGUAAGUAAAUAUUUAAACAGAUUAUUUUUUAUAACAUGAAUCAUCAUUACUAAAGGAAAAAUCAACUCAACUAGCUGGUGAAAUUAGUAUUAAAAAUCAUAGUACAAUAUCAAUUUAAUAGCUAGAUAUUAAGUACCAGCUCUAGCCAAAGCACUGAUUCUAAAAAUUUUUUAAUGUCCUUCUUGAUUGUGUUCAUUUCCUAACUUUUGAAAAAUAUCUAUUAUUUAGUCUAUGAAAAAUUAUAGUUUGAAAGUUGGUCAUAAAACACAUGCAUAGAGAUUAUUGACAAGUUGGUAGGUAUAUUCUGACGGGACUGGUAUACCCAGAUUCAUAUUAUUGAGGCUGGGAUGUAGCUCUUGAGGAAUAAUAGAGAUGUAGCUAGGAUUUUUGAGAACCUGGAUUCAACCCCCAGCACUGAAAAAAAACCUGACAUUAUUUUGGUUUAUUCUGAAUAUUAUCGCCUGAAGAAAACUUCACUUUUUGCAUCAUAUAUUUUAUUUUUUUACUUUUGGAGAUAAAAAUGUUCACCUUUGCUUAUAUUGCAAAUUUUAUGUGUUAUAUACUUUUAAUGCAUAUUUUAUAUUAAAGAGAAAGAAAUACAUAGCAAAUCAAUACAGAGGAUUUAUAUUCAAUGUCAAGUUACAACCAACUGGAGGGGGAAAAAAAGCCUUGUUAAAAGACUAUUACUCGGGCUGGGGUUGUGGCUCAGCGGUAGAGCACAUGAGAGGCCCUGGAUUCAAUUCUCAGCACCAUGUAAAAGUGACUAAAUAAAAACAAAGGUGUACAAGUAAAAGAAAUAAAUAUUUUUUUAAAAAAAGACUAUUACUCUACACAUAUAACUAAUAAUAUGUCAUAUUACAUAGUUGAAAACAUUUAGAUUUUUAAAUUUAAGAAACAUUUAGUUACUUUUGAGGGAAAUAUAAGAUAUAAUUUUUAAUAAUGAUAAUAGAAGUUAAUAGAUCUUUGGUGAAAAUUAAUUAUUAUUGUGUCCAUAAACCCCAAAAUUCAUAAAUGUGAACUGGAGCAGGGGUAAUCCACAUCCCAAGGUAGAUGAAGCACAGGGAUAAAUCAAUGCAGCAUUUGUCAAUAUAGAAAAGCAGAGUGACCACUUGUUCUCUUGAUCUCAAUAAUAAUUGCAUUUAACUAUCAAACUCCUUUUUGCAAGGACAGAAUGAUCAAUCACUAGGGAAAGGGUGGUUAAUGUAGUCAGUAAAUUUUACAAAUGUGUGGCCUUGCCACCUCUGUUACUUCACCCCAAAGUUAAAGGUGAACAGGGCUAGUCUUUGAAAAAAAUAAUCAAGUAAUAAAAUACUAAGUUGUGGGGUGAACUUUGCUUUAAGAAGAAUGUGACUGAUCAGCAAUGUUGAUGAAUUUUCUCAGUGUAGCUUCUAUUCCACUUUCUAUCCCACAUGGCUCCAUUGUCUAACUAGGCAAGUAGUAUUUGCCAAAAGGUCCCAUCUAGGUUGAAUUAGGAAAAACUACAAGUGUUCUCUCUUCACCAGAUCUUUGCCCUAAUCUGAUUAGGACUCCAGUCCCAGCCACAGGGGAAAUGACAAGCAAAUCCAUAACACCCAACUCUUUGACUAUAGUGGAAAGAAAUUUUAUCAAUAGGGUUUUUUUUUGUUUUUAUUUAAUUAUAUUUUAUCGUAUUCUCUGAAAUGAAAGACUAUUUUUUAUUUUAACUAUUUUUUUAAUCCCCAUUUUUCCACUUUAAGUAAAUGCCUUUAUGGACGCAGACCAAGAUUGGCAAGCAAACAUUUCACUUCACAAAUACAAGUCUCUCAAAGUGUAGCUAAGACCUUCUCAGAAAAGUAAAUUUUAGUUAAUUUUUGGGUUUUGGCACAUGUUUGAGCAAUGUAAGUCUUUUUUUAUUUUGUUUUUGCUUUUUCAGCAAGCUUUUCUUUAUUCAGUAUUAAGCGGCAGAGUCAAUCAGUCAAAUCUCUGGUAUGGCUCAUUUUUAGGACAGAAAAUGGCAAUAUAAAUCAUUUUAAGACCAAGUUUAACAUAUAAAUCUACUGAAAAGAGUAUUAAUUCCAAUAGAAAUUUGGGAACAUUUUCUAAAUGUACCCAAGUGUUCUUUACAUACUAAGAAAAAAAAUCUAAAACCUAGGAUUUCUACCUUCCAACAUAAAUAUGUUCCCAUGGGACAUCUAACAUAAUGUACUCUGUAUAUAGAUUUAAUAAUUACUAAACACCUCCCAUUUCCAAAGGAUAUUAUUACAGAGAGUAAAAAUUUGAAUCUUUUUUUGGUUGUGACUAUUUAAGUUAAUAAAAACUGAUCUUUUGGGUCUGGGGUUGUGGAUUAGAGGUAGAGUGCUUGCCUAGUGUACAUGAGACACUUGGUUCAAUCCUCAGCACCACACAAUAAAAAAAUGAAGAUAUUAUGUACACCCAUAACUAAAAAAUAAAUUUAAAAAAAGAAAAAAAAACCCUGAUCUUUUGGAGUAUACUAGUUAUCUAUUUUUCUUAAAUGUUUAGGGGCUUUAGUACCAUAAAUGUCAUACUUUCUCACAGGGAAGUCAAUAGAUUUUUGUUGCAGAGGAGGCUGAACUUCCAGCUUCUCAUUCUUUGAAAUUAUAUGAGAAAGAAUACAUGAAUUGAACAGAAAAGAGUUUUAUAUUUUACUGUUAAAGUCAUGAUUUGGCCAGGCACAGUGAUGCACACCUGUAAGGGAGGCUGAGACAGUGGAUUGCAAGUUCAAAGCCAGCCUCAGCAAAAGUGAGGCUAAGCAACUCAGUGAGAUCCUGUCUAUAAAUACAAAUAGGGCUGGGAUGUGGCUCAGUGGUUGAGUGUCCCUGAGUUCAAUCCCUGGUUUCAAAUAAAUAAAUAAAUAAAAUCAUGAAUUGGUCCGUUCUCAUGUAGGUGUUUUUUGUUUGUUUGUCAGAAUCAUUGCUUCUGAAUACAAUAUACGAUUUAUCUUCAGGCUGUUGAGUGUGUUGGUCACCUCUGUGUGUGUUUCAUUAGAGUUAUUAAAGACAUUGCCAAUUAUUCAAAUACCCAGAACUAUAUUAUUAAAUUCCCUUACUUAUGGAUAUAACUUAGUGAAUAUAGAAGUACCAUAGAUGUAAACAUUCUUAGAUCUUUUUUUUUUCAUAUUUUAACAUCUCUUAAAAUUGAUGUCAUCUUAUACUUAUGUUUGGCAGUAUUUUUCCUUUCUUGGUGGUACAUAAAGCAAUGAUAUGUUGAUAAUAAAUAGAUGAUAUCUUAGAUAUCAUGAAUAAAAUAGUAUAAUUCAGUGAAGAAAAAAAUAUCAAAGCCUUUUUAUCUGCAUUAGACAUUAGAGCCUACAAAUUCUAGUAAUCACUUUUGGCAUAACAGGAAUCUCAUAUUCUGGAAAUGGAACGUUUCAGUGAGUUUCCAACUUUUUUUAUGUAGAGUUUUCUCCUGGAUGCAUUUGUAGACAAUUAGAAAAUCAAGGGGGCAGAGGCAAAACAAAUGUAAAUUAUCUUUGCUGUGUAUUUUCAUUUCCAGCAAAGGGUUUUGAUUUAGGUCCAGUAUACUGAGGAAGUGAAGUUUCAUUCCCUCCCAUAAUAAGGACUAUAACAAACUGGUCAACCUAUUUGCUAAAUCAGAGCCCAAGACCACGAACUCAGCCACUAAUGUUCUGGAUUCAUAUUUCAACACAGAAAAAACAGAGCCACAAUAUUUUGGGGAAAAUAAUAUUUUACAUCUUCUUAUAUCUUUAUACAAACUAGAAAUUGAGUUUGUUAAAACUUUUAAAAAAUAUUUAGUUUUUGUAGUUGGACACAAUACCUUUAUUUUAUUUAUUUUAUGCGGUGCUAAGGGUCGAACCCAGGGCCUUGCAAGUGCUAGGUGAGCGCCCUACCACUGAGCCACAACCCCAGCCCUUGUUAAAGCUUUUCAAAUGAGACAAAGACCUCAAAAAAGAAAUGGAGGAUGGGUAGUUUUUCACAAGCAUGGGUGCUAUCUUUGUAAACAGAGUACACCACAUAAGAAUCCCUUAUCUCAAUGCAUAUUUAUUGACAUGGGUUUUGGGCUUAAAAAAGAGAGAGAGAAAUGGGAGCUCAUAACCCACUUGAAUCAAAUUGUGAAAUAUGAUAUAUCAAGAACUAUGUAAUGUUUUGAACAGCCAACAAUAAAAAAUUAAAAAAAAAAAAAAAAAAGAGAGAGAGAGAAAGUUAAUCUCUUUUUAAUUCAGCUCCCUGAUGAAAAAAACAAUUUUAUAUUAUGAUCAAGGGUUAAUAUUAGUGUUGGACUUCCUCCAUAGUAUAGCAUAUAGCAAUGGCCUGAAUCUAUUUAUAAACAUUUUUUUAAAAACUCAAGGUUAAUUUUCUUAGUUUUAUACUCUCAUGUCACAAUGAUGUACCAAUAACAUUUAUAUAACUAAUUCCUAUGUACUUUAACUCUGGAAGGAUCCUAGGAAUUGUUACAUAGUAACAAAUGCCAGGCAGAAAUAGAACUUUUCUACAAAGAAGAUAUUACCUUUGAGCUAUUUAAGGCUAUUGCUGGUGUGUAUAUAUAUAUAUAUACCAGCAAUAGCCAUAUAUAUAUAUAUAUAUAUAUAUAUAUAUAUAAUAUGCUUAUAUUAAAUGUAUGUUUAUGAACCCAUAUAAAGUAUUAUACAGAAUUCUGACUAGGAAAUUUUUUUUUUUACUAUCUACUUUAACAUGUAGGAAGAAAGUCUCUUCAAAAAAGAUUGAAAAUAAAGUCUCUUUAAAGAAUACUGAAAAAAGAGUAUCUUCAAAGAAUAUUAAAAAUAAAGAUUUCUUAACAAAUCUACAGUCUGACCAAUGGCCAUCUUCUUUCUUAAAAGAAAGUACAGGUAAUAGCAUUUGUCUUACUGAAUUGAGUGAUUGUGGCUUCUAAUUUAAACCUCUUUCCAGGACCCUGGGGAGUUGACAACACUCUAGGUCUAAGGUGGGGCCUGGGAAUCGUUAGUUUUUCAAACUCAGGUACUUGGUGAUUCUGAUACGCAAUGAAAUAGAGGAUCCCUGAGUAUACAUCAUGAGAUGAUAUUAUAAGGCAUUCAAUCUUUGCAUGGAUUUAAAUACCUAUGAAAGCAUUAACAAGUUCUAUUUGCUUAACCAUGAUUGAAAACCAGAGUGCCAGGCAUUAAUUUAGAAGCUGUGAAUACAAUAGUUGGCAAAAUAGGCAAAGUUUCUACACUUUAUAAAGUUCACACUGUAGUGUAAGCAUCCUUAUGCUGAUGAGCUGUUAUUCACUAGGGUGACAAUAAAUAAUGAUAAUGUACUAUAAAUUUCAAAAAGCUAAAAGAAAGGAAUUUGAAUGUUUUCACCAUAAAUAAAUAAUGUUUGAGGAGAUAUAUUUUACAUGAUUUAAACAUUAUACGAUGUAUACAUGUACCCAAACAUCACAUGAAACCUCAUAAAUAUGUGCAAUUUUGUCAGUUCAAAAUAAAUUUUAAAAAAUAAGUAACAGUAAAAAACCAGAAACAUGCAAGAUCAUUUCAGGGUUUGAUAGGUGCUACAUUUAAAUAAACAGUACCUGGGAGAGGAUUAUUUUAGAUCUAGAGAACAGGAAACUUCCCCAUAAUAACUGAAUUGAAUGAGACAGUGCCUGUGACAUCAUAGGAUGUCUUUAGUUCCUUAUUACGACCUUCCUGAUGACAUCAGUGUGGUGAGCUGGUGCACAUACUGGUGUACAUACUGGUGUAUACUGGAAGAUCAAGGUGGUUGUGAGCCAAUGGAGACUAUGAAUGAAACAGAAGCAGGUUAGAUGGACAGCUUGAAUAACACCAUUAUAAUUCUCCUGGAAGGGCUUCAUAUCCCUUUUCAGGGUAACACUCUUGGCUUAGAGUCAGGAGUUUCAUUUUAUUUCAUUUGGUCUGUGUUUUUCUAACCUAUCUUUUCUGGAGCUCCCCUGGAUUUCCUCCUUUUCUUCUAAAAAAUUGUGCUUAUACAACUUUUUAGAGUAGCUCAUGGCUACACUCCCAUCAAAAAGGCCCUUUCCCAAGGUGUCCCAGGCACCCACAAGAAAGGGGUGGGUGUAAUAACACAAGAUCAGUCUGAAACUGAAAGACUCCAUAAAGCCAAAGGAGUCAGGCUCACUGGUUUUCAAGGAGAUAUUUUAGGAAACACGUGGUAAACAUUUUUAAAAAUGAAUACUAGUAUAUUUAUUUUAAUAUUUUUUGAAGUACAUUAGAAAGAAAUAUAAGACAGUUAAGAACAUAGACUCUGGAGCCAAACUGACUCCCAGAAGAAUAAUUUAUUUCACUCCUCUGUCCCCCAGUUUUUUCAUCAAUAAACAGGAACAAAAAUUGUAGUACCUCACUGGGAUUUUAUAUAUAUAUAUAUAUAUAUAUAUAUAUAUAUAUAUAUAUAUAUAUAUAUAAUUUUUCAGUUAUAGGUGGACACAAUAUCUUUAUUUUUAUGUGGUGCUGAGGAUCAAACCCAGUGCCUCAUGAAUGCCAGGCAAGUGCUCUACCCCUGAGCCACACCACCAGCCCUCACUGGGAUUUUGAUAGAUUAAUAUCUGUAGUGUUCAGAGGCUAGAUUGUUGGUCAUUAUGACGGUUUUUGUUUGGUGAUUAUGUUAAUUUAGUAUAUCAGUUUUAUGGAUGCUAAUAGGGUCUGGCAAAAUUUAACUUCUAAACUUUUCAUUGUUCAUUGCUUAAAUUAUGUAUAUUCUGUUUUAGGUGAAGGGGGCAAAGACACAAUUAUUGCAAAGCAGGAGAAAAAUAAUGAACAUUGUGUUCAGAGUAUUGAUAAGUUGUCAGAAUCAACGGAUGCUGAUGGUGAGGAUGAUACCAGUGAUGAAGAUGAUGAAGACAGUAACCCUAAAAAGGAUACUCAUGCCCCAUUAGAAUUGAUGGCAGAAGUAAGUUUUACUUGUGCAUUACAAUUUAAGAAACUUAAAAAUGCUGAAAUAACUAAUGAUUUUAUUACUAAGUAAAUUAAGCAAAUUAGUAACGUAUUCAUCAAGUUAAAUUUUUAAAAAUCAAUAAAAAAGAUCCUUGCCCAGAUAUAAACGCUUACCUGGCUACUCAUCUCUCUUCAUUGCGUUAGAAGUAAAAGAAGGUUCUGAAAGUGACAUACAGUAUUCUAGUGAGGCAGAGGCAGGAGUAAGAGAAGUCUUGGUGCCCUGUAAGGACUGCUGGAAGGAAUGUGUUCUACAUACUGGGUACCAUGCUAGUUGCUGGGCAUAUAGAAAUAAAUAAGAGAGAGACAUUCUGUCCUUGAAAACAGGCACAUUUAGAAAUAGUUACAACACAUUGAAACAUAUACUAAUGAAAGUGCUUAAUAAGUUCCCUGGGAACAGGAAGACUUAAGUGACUGAGAAAAGAAGCAGGAAGAACAGGGAUAAGAGAAGGAUUUUUAAGAGGAAGAGACGUGAGUGGAAUCUUAGAAACUUGAAGGAAGAGGAGAAUAUAGAAAUUCAACUCGUAAACAAGAUUUCAAAAAUAUGAACAACAGCUGCAUAUUACACUGAUCACAUUCUCUAACCAUGAUCAAUGAAACUAGGCAUUAUAAGCAAAAAUAAUUAAAAUCACUUAAAAGAUAUUCUUCAAAAUGACACUUGAAGUAAAAUGAGAAAUCAAAAUUAAACUUAUUAAUUUGGAAAAUAGUGAUAACCACAACAUUACAAAUUACUAUUUUAAAAAGAGCUUAAGGUUUUAAAUGCUUUAAUGAUGGUGAUGAUGAUGAUUAAACUAAUAACAACAAUAAAGGAACUAAAUAUCAAUGCCAAAAACUAGAAAAAUAGAAAACAUAACAAAACAUGAAACGAAAGAAAAAUAAUAAUAAUACAAAGUAAAAAUGAAAUUAAUAUAUCAAGAGCUAGGUAUUUGAAAAAAAAUAACGUACAGAUAAACUGAUAAAUAUCAUAACUACAAUGGAAUAAAAUCACAAAUAGGAAUGAAAAUAAAAAUAUCUUAGACAAGAAUAGAAUUUAAAAUGUAAGAAUUCCAUUGCAUGAAUCAAUAUAGUUUUUAUUAAUAUGCAAAUAAAUGAGAUUUUUGGUGAAAUUAGUGAAUAAUAGAAAAACUCUAGAAUUGUUCUACUUAUAUCAGAAACAUAUUUUUAAAAAACUUCAAGGGAGAAACUGAAAAAAGUAAUAGAGAACUUCUUCUUAAAAUGGUACCUGGGUAUUCAUCACAUAUCUGGAAAUGCAUGAGAAGUUUUUCUUAGUACUCAGUGUCCCUGUCUCUUGCUGAGUAAAAUUCAUGUACCUGUGUGUGGUCCAGAUGUACCACACUCAAGCAGGAACAAAAAGUGUUAAGUUUUGUGUGUGUGUGUGUGUGUGUGUGUUUUUAACUGGUAGCAGAGUAAAAAGUUAAUGACAGCUGGGUAUGGUGGCCACGCCUGUAAUCCCAGCAGCUUAGGGAGGCUGAGGCAAGAGGAUUUCCAGUUCAAACCCAGCCUCAGCAAUUUAGCAAGGUGCUAAGCAACUCAAGGAGACCCUGUCUCUAAAUAAAAUACAAAAAAAAGUGAGGUGGGGUGCUGGAGAUGUGGCUCAGUGGUUAAGUGCCCCAGAGUUCAAUUCCCAGUACCAAAAAAAAAAAAGUUAAUGACAGGGGCCAAAGUUGUGGCUCAGUGGUAAAGCAUUUGCCUAGCAUGCAUGAGGCACUGGGUUCAAUCCUCAGCACUACAUAUAAGUAAAAACAAAUAAAAUGAAAGUAUUAUGUACAUCUACAACUAAAAUAAAAGUUAAUGACAAAAAAUUCAUCUAGUAAAUUGUAGCCUAAAUAAGUAAAAAAAUAUGUAAUAUUUAAUGCUAGACUGGGUGUGUAGUUCAGUGGUAGAACACAUACUAAGCAUGAUAAGCAUGAAAGAGACCCUGGGUUCAGUCUCCAGUAUUCCCCUCCCUACCAAAAUAAGAAUAUUAAUGCCACGGGGAAAAAUAAUCACAAUCAAAUAGUUUAUUUAUUAAAUAACUACUGAAUAAUCCUAAUAUUUAUAAAUAUAUAUGUGUUUAUUUAUGAGCAAAACUAAAAGGAUAUACAUGAAGAUGUUAAACAUCUCUAGAUGGUAGAAAUAUAGGUGCUUCUUAAUGGAGAACAUAAUGUGUUAAUUUAGCUUUUAAAUUCCCUACAUUACAAAUGUGUAUUACUUUAACAAGAAAAAUAGUAUAAGCAAAACUAGAUAAUAUAGAAGCAGUGCUGGAAAAUAUUGAAUGUACAUAAUUGUUAAGUCCAUAAUUAUUCUUUUCAACUAAGAACUGUUAUGUCGUUAUGAACUACAUUCACACAUGAAAUCUAUAUCUAAACUAAAGGAAUAAUCAGAUAAAGUGAUUGAAGUAUUUACUAUCUGUGCCAGUCAAGUCAACCUAUGUUUCUUAAAUGAUUCGGCAGUAUGCACACAAUGUGGCUGCAACAAAGCAGAGGUGGCACACUUAUUCCAAGUUGACCUGCCACCCAAGAGACUUACAUAUCCUCGAUUAAUUAAUUGAUUAUAGACUCACUCCUAGAAAAGUGUAUGUGUUAAAAGCAAAACAACUAACCAUUAAUGGAGUAUUUUCUAGGGAAUUUAUAAUUGACAAUUAAAUUCUCUCUGAAUCUACUUACAUCCAACGAAUUUAAUGUUUUCCAGUUCCUGAGAGCAGAAAUGGGCCGAGACUAUCAUCUCGCAAAAAAAUUAUGUCAGAUGAGUAAGUACAAAAUGCUUUCACAUUUUCCAAUAUUCCUUUUGUUUCUAAAAAUAAAUUCUAUCAUAUGUAAGAUGGUUCCAUUAUCCUAAGUCUAAUUCCCUGCUAGUGUCUCAGUGGCUCCUUUAUAGUGAAUGGUUAAUUAAUAUAAGGAUUAAUUUAGAUUUCUAGAGUAACUUUUAGCGACAUAAACUAAUGUAGACUAAUGUAGACUAAUUAUCACCACUGGAAAAUAAAUCAGAAUCCUUACUAUCAUGAUAAGGGAAUAGUACCUUUAUGCUUUUUGUUUCAAAGAAAAGCCAGGUGCUAUAGCUGUCGAGCUAGUCUAUCUGAACAUGCAUUAUUCCACCAAUGUUGGAGAGCCUGGGUGUGCCAGGCACCAUUCUAGACACUGGAAAUAGAGCAGCCAACAUGAUGGAAUAACAGUCCCACAUUUAUGCCUACUGUCAGACAGAUAAUAAACUAAAUUGUGUAUCAUAAAUGCUAGAUGCUUUGGAGAAAGACUAAGUCGGAAAGAGGAACUAGAAGGCACUGGGAGAAAACAAGGUAGUUUUCAGUAGGCUGGAAGGCCUCCCUGAAAGACUCGAAGUGGAGGAAAGAAGUGUGCUAGGCAUGUCAAACAGCACGUGUGCUGGCAGCAGCAAGAAGUCCUGUGUACCUGCAGCAGAAGAGCAAGGAAGUGUGGCAGGUGCGGAGGUCAGAGAGAUCAGAGAGGUUUGGCACAGGCUAUGCACACUGCAUGGGACCAUUUGUCAAUUCAGAGACCUUGGCUUGUCGCUGAGUGAGAUGGGAAAGCACUGGAGGCUUUUGAUUCCAGGGGAAUGAUCUGUCUUCUCUCUCUCUGGUUUUUAGUGGUUUGACUUGUUGAAGAUAGUUGUGGUUCUGGGCUGGGGUGGUAGCUCAGUGGUAGAAUGCCUGCUUCACACCUGUGAGGCAUUAGGUUUGAUCCUUAGCACCACAUAAAAAUAAAUAGAUAUUGUGUCCAUCUACAACUUAAAAAAAAUUUUUAAAGGUAUUUAUGGUUUUCUUGGUACUUAUCCUAUUGGGAAGGUUUGCUGAGUUUUUAAAUCUGUGGGUUGUUGUUUUCAUCAACAUUGAAAGGUUCUUGGCCAUUACCUUUCCUCAUACCACUUCCACCCUAUUCUUUCUUUCUCUUCUCUUCCUGGGAUUCCAGGAAUUCAACUUUUUUUUUUUCAUGAAAUCCCACAUGUAUCUUUUACUUAGUUCUGUUUUGUUUUUAUUUCUCCAUAUUUCUAUUCUUCAGUUUGUGUAUUUUCUUUCUUUGUGUGUGUGUGUGUGUGUGUAAACACAAUACCUUUAUUUAGUAUUUUUUUAUGUGGUUCUGGGGAUCGAACCCAGUGCCUCACGCAUGGUAGGCAAGCACUCUACCACUGAGCCAUAACCCCAGCCCAGUUUGUAUAUUUUCUAUUGACCUUUUUUGGGGUUUAUUUAUCCUGUUUUAUGCUGUGUCCAGUCUGCUAUUAAAACUAUCCGGUGGGCUAGGGAUGUAACUCAAGCGGUAGCGCGCUGGCCUGUCAUGCAUGCGUCCCGGGUUCGAUCCUCAGCACUACAGACAAAGAUGUUGUGUCCGCCGAAAACUAAAAAAUAAAUAUUAAAAAAUUCUCUCUCUCUCUCUCUCUCUCUCUCUCUCUCUCUCUUUAAAAAAAAAACUAUCCGGUGAGUUCUUAAUGUCAAAGACUGUAUUUUCCAACUUUUAAAUGCCCAUUUAAUGAUUGGAAAGAUUUCAGCUCUAUACUAACAUACACCAUCUUUCCAACUAUUUUGUCCAUAUUUCCUCAAAUAUUUUAGUCAGAGUUAUUUUAUAAUAUAUAUAUAAACCUAUUGAUAAUAGGACCAUUAACUAGCAGUUGACUUAAAUUAAGUCUAUAAUAAAUCCCUUGAAGUGAAAAUGUAGUGCAGGGAUUGUGAAGGGUCUACCCUCACUUGCCUGUGUCCCCACUAUGAACACAGAAGUAGAUUGGCUAGUUUUAAAAAUGGGUUUCUUGAAUCCUUUAGCACUACCUAUUUCAUAUCAGAAGUAAACAGCUUGUCCUGUUUAAUCCUAUAGAGUAUUUUUAACCUAUUUAAUAAAAUACUUUGGUCAAAGCUAUUUUUAGAGUCCCACAAACAGAAUUUUCCAAUCAGAAGGAAUCUUCAGAGAAGAUAAUGUCCAGUGACUUUCUGUGGAAGAAGCUGAAGCAGAGAGGGGUAAACAACUGGCUUGGCACUACUCACGAUGACAGUGACACGGUCAGAAUGGAAACGCAAGCCUGCUUUUCCUACACCUUUCUUUUCUCCAGUGGCUUAUGUAAAACAAGGAACUCUGUUCCACUCAUUCUCCAUUCUGUGAAUUUUUUCUGGAAACUAAUUGUGGAAAAUUUUAUGUAUUUUUUAUUUCUCUAUUCAUCAAUCAUUUUAGAAAGCUUCUGGCUAAAGCUUAUAAAAUAUAUGUACUGUCAGUCUGUUUUGGCUAUGAGCCCUGCAGAAUGCUACAUAAACAGCAGGUGCUCAAUAAUAUACUUGUCAGCCUGACUCAAACCAGUGAUUGUACAAUAAAUACCAGGUCAAUGGGGUUGAAACACUUCAAAUUUAUCUAUGUUCAUGGAUAUAUCCCUUUAAAAAUAUCCUUCCUCCCUUUCUCCUACUCUUUCUUCUUUCUUUCCUUCUCUCCUUCCAACAAGUACAUAUUGAGCACCUUCCUCUGACCCAGACAUGCUGGGAGACGGAGAGAAAGCAGGAGCCAAGGCACACAUGCUCUCAAUCCUCUGGGGAGUCACUUUAAAGUUAACAUGUCUACAGGCUCACACAUUCACACUGUCCCCUCUUAUAGGUCAGUGUCAAAUAGUGGUGCCUCUAAAACUGAGGAUUAGACUACAAGAAGAGUGGCUAAGGUCACCAUCAGACACCAGGAUCUGGGGUGCCUGUAAGAACGCUGCUUCUAGGAGGAAGAAGGGCUGACUGGAAACAUGGGCAAAGAGGCCCAGAAGUAGGGAUGCAUGGGUUCCCUCGAAGAACAGGAUUGCCUUCUUCUGAGGCAGAUUCCCAGCUGAGGGUGUGAAGUUAGGGAGGCCCAGAGUCUGCAGUGCCAAGCCAGGUCAAGGGAAGAACCGAGUUCUCAGGGAGAAAAAGCACUAGUUCUUUGCUGCUAUUAGGAACAUGUGAUUGGAGGCUGUUCCAUAACUUUCUCUGUAUUUAUGGCUGCAGACAAAAUGAAUUGUUCUUAUCUAGCAUGGACCCCACAUACUUUAUAUAUAAAUGCUUAUAGUAUAGAUAUUCUUGUCUGUCCCUUUUAUCAUAUUCUAGCUUCCCUACAAAAUACCUGCUUUGUGCUUGUGCUCUCCCUCUCUUCUCUCCCUCUCUCUCUGUCUCUCUCUAUGUAUAUAUAGAUAGAUAAAGAUAGAUAGAUAGAUAGAUAGAAUUUAUAUGUGGGCAUUUUUAUUUUUUAUUUUUAAAAUAUUUUUAAUUGUAGAUGGACACAAUACCUUUAAUUUAUUUACUUACUUAUUUAUAUGUGGUGCUGAGGAUCAAACCCAGUGCCUCGUAUGUGCUAGGCAAGUGCUCUACCACUGAGCUACAACCCCAGCCCUGUAUUUUUAUUUUUAAAUGUAUAACUUCUGACAUCUGUAAGUGUAGUUAUAUAUUUACAUAUUUAUGCAUAUAUGUGUUGAAUACCUACUAUAGGAACAUUCUUGAAGAAACAGUGCUUAAUACUCAAAACAGUUUUGUGAGAAUCAUUAACUCUACAGAGGAGGAAACUGAAGCAAAGCAAGACCUAAUUCAUACAAGGUCAAAUGGCUCCUAAGUAGUAGGAUCAUAUUCCAAGUCUAACUUGAAAGUCUGUCAUUUCCAUACUCCAUUUCAAUUUCCUCAUUUGGUUAAUAAGCUUAUUUUUCUGGUAAAGGAAGCAAAGGCUUGGAAAAUAAAUAUUUUCAUGGAUCUGUCAGGCUAGAAAUGGGUCCCAUGAUUGAUGAAUAUAUAUUUUUCUUUGUUUAUAUCAAGGACAAUUAAUUUAUAUAAAAUAAUGCAUCCUUAUCCCUUCAAAAGUGUACACACUCAUUUUCUUGAAAAAAGCCCCUGGUUCCUGGGGUGGUGCCUUGAAGUCCAAUUGCAAGCUAGUCUUAUAUGAUUUUGUCUGACUAUAGGGCAUCCCACCCAGCAUCUAGGCACCCACAGCUUCUUUUCUCUUUUCCUGCCUUUUUAAAAAUCUGCGUUGGGUUCUUCCAAAACAUUGUAUCUAUCGACAUAGGCUUGAAUUUCUUCUGUCUUCCACCCAGUUUUUAUAUAGUCGUAAUCGUUCCUCAAUCAUUUUCCUGCUGUCUCAUGCAGAACUUAUAUUUCUGCUCCAUUUCCUGUCAGGCAGCAGGGGCAACCUGGAAAAAAAUGGUUUUUAAAUGGGACUGGAAGUCAAGGGUCCAAAGUACUUUUCUUCAUUCAUUUCGUUCAUGACUGAGGUUUUUGUGCCAAUCAAUCUCCCUAUUUCUUGGUCACUUCACCUGUAAGUGAGAAAAUUGCAGCUCAGUCUUCUCAGGGCACAUCAGUUCUGCUCACAAGUAGCUAGAGAUUCUACACACAAAAAACAGGGAAGUGUGCUACAAGAUCUAUAUCAUGAGUUAUAACCAUUGUAAAUAGUAACGAACAAUGGCUUGAAACCCAAACAGUUCUCAUUAUUGUAGCUCUAUUUUGAAUAUAGAUGUAUCUUCAGAAAAGAUGGUUCCUAAAAAACUGUUUCUUUUCAAGUAAAAUAAAUGAUCCCUUUCUAUUAGCCUACAGUAUCACCUUAUCUUGGGGUUAAAAAAAAAAGCCUGCUUUGUUCUCAUUUGUCUAUAUUCACUUAUUCCCCUUUCUAAUGUUUUGAAGGCUCCUGCUGCACAUAGCAAGCACUCUGCUGGGCAUGCAACAGUAAACAAGACAAGUGUUUUCUGCCCUGAAAUAGCUCCAAUCUGUUCAGCCCCAUAGCAUUAGAAGCCCCACUUCCCCACAUGAGUCCUGUAGUCAGAAGAAGCACCCUGUUUCUGAGGCAGAAGAAAAGAAACCAAACAAUCCUCUAGUCCAAGAACCAUUCCAGGAAAACUAAUAAUAACCAAUAUUUAUUCAGCACUUACCGUGCACCAAGGACUGGACUGAGUACUUAAUAUUAUCUGAUUGAUUCAUCCAAAUAGCCCAAUAUGACAAAUAUUAUUACAGAAAAGGAAAUUGAAGUACAACCAUAUUAAAUAUGGUAGCAGGACCAGAAUUCAUAUCGGGCAGUUUUUCUGCAGGAUCCUUAGUGGGCAAUGCUUCCAUUAUGGAGCCCAAGUUGGAAAACAACCCCUGGACAGAAAUUGCAUGUGCUAGAUGCUUAUCUCAAAUCUUUACACACCCGUCUAGGCUGUGAUAUCAGAAUUUUUGAUUUGUCACCUAGAAUAGUUAUUGCUGGGCCAAGUUUCAAACCAGAUACCUUUCCCUCACUUUCUGAAAAUUGAUAAAUGCUAGCUAAACUUACACUCCAAUCCCUGAAAUGAAUCCAAUUCCAACAUUAAUUUUCUAAAUUAGUUCCAAGUGAUAGCUUAGGGUUUAUUAGUAAGUGUUCCACAAAAAUGAUUCCAUUGUCAAAUAAAUUUGGAUAAAUCACAUUUGCCUCUCUAUAAGAUUCAUAGCAGUUUUGAACAUCUGACUGGUUCUGUAAAUUCCUGUGAUUACUCCUUAGAGUAAGUUUUUCCCGAUUAACUUUCUUUAACUUAGUAUCCCAAAUAUGUAUUAAGAAUCUAGUAUCCAAAGAAGCAAGUUGGAGAAAUCCUGCUCUAGAAAGAGGCUUAGCCUCAGAGAAAAAUUUAGACUAGUGAUAAGUAUAUUUAAUUUCAAGUUAAAUGUAUAAUAAAGGUACCUUAUUAGAAAGCUUAUUUGUAUGUAUAAUAAUGCAUAAAAUACCUGGGAUCCUUAAAGGCAGUUUUUGAGCAAGCAUACAGUUAUGUAUGUUAUGUUAGUGGAUUUGGAAAUAAAGUCACUGGUUUGACAUGUCAAGAUGAAAGCCAUGAGUCAAUGGAGCCUUGAACCUUCCACAGUUCUCUUUCUUUUAGCCAGAAGAAUAGCACACUUGAUGUUUCAGUGCCCCCUGGGGGCCACCAAGAUAUUGCACAAGGAGUCAUCAAUGGAUGAUACAGAAAGAAAUAAUGAAUACUCCUCUAGGCAUGUAGGAAUAAGGAAGAGAGAUUGAGCUGUAGAGAGAUUUGAAAACCAGACUCUAGAAAAUUCUGGAAAGAAGUCUGGUAUCUAACACAUAGAUAAUAUACCAACAAGCCUUAAAAAGUCUGAUAUGGUCCAAAGGAAGGACAACAGUCACCUAAGGCAAAGGGAAUAAAUGGGGCUCAAUGAAGAGGGGAGAGUAUUGUUAAGCAGGCGAUGACUGGUGAGUAGACUAAAGUUCUCAGAAUGAAGGGAAAAAAACAACGUCAGUUUUCCCUAUGCAAAAGAUGUUAUUUAAAAGUGGCACCUCUACAGAAGAGGUCGCACAAAGAAAACUCCUUUCCUUUGUGUUACACGAGAUCUUCAGCAAAGGAUGUCAUGCAGAUAUACUAAUGGAUGAGAUGAGGGAUUACAGACAUAUAGGCACACUGUCUUUUCAUUAUCAAACUCUCCACAUUUGCAGGAUUUGUACACUCUUUGGAGAAUGAUUCUAUUCAUGAAACACUUUGGCUACUGGCCUAUUAGGGAAGCCAUAUUGAGGUGAUUGAGAUUGUAUUAUUUGUAUAGGAGGUAGAAAAAUAUAAUAAGGAUAAUUUCUCCAAUAAAGCACCAAAUAUAAGUGGAGCAUUUUCUCUAUUUGUACCUGGAUCUAUCUGUGGUAUAAUUGUUGAUGUUUAUUGCUUUGUGCAUUUCUACCUGCUCUGACUGACAGUUUCAAUCUCAUUCUAAGGAUCCUGUUUGUUGAAACACUGUGAACCUUAAUAACACACAUUCUGUUGUCCAUUUUCAGUCAUAAUCU